AAAGCUCAUAGAAUUGAUCACUAUAAGCCCAGCACUCACACAACCCACAACUUUAUGCUAAAGUGUAGAUACUUGACAGAGUAUGAGUUUGUUGCUGUCUUUUAAUUACUUGGAACGGGAGAGGUUGGCCUGAACACUCAUCACAUGAGAAUAAUCAAGAGGUUGUCUGCCAACAGAAAACAACUUCAAAAGUACAGAAUGUAGAAUUCAGAGCCUAAACCACUUGGUAGCAUCCCAAGAAGGCAUGUCCUAACAUGUUUUCAGUGUAAGAGAGCUUCAGCAUUCCAGGCUUUUAAAAGACUGUCUCCUGUUACAGCUAAAGGGAGCUGCGUGUCCUUUUCCACACUCUGAAUUCAUGGAAUCUGGAAGUCUGAUUCUGGAACACUCAUUUUCAAAUAAAUUGAGUCAUCUUUAUAUGAAAACUAGAGAACUUGGCUUUUCUCGCCCCCGUUUUUGAAGAAUAGUUGAAAUGAAACAACAACCACAUGUAAAUGCUUCCCGCCAU
Molecule: long non-coding RNA, 505 nt
Filed under: Bos taurus (domestic cattle)
Lineage: Eukaryota; Metazoa; Chordata; Mammalia; Artiodactyla; Bovidae
Description: long non-coding RNA NONBTAT016906
Source: RNAcentral